Molecule: ribosomal RNA, 509 nt
Filed under: uncultured bacterium
Lineage: Bacteria
Description: partial 16S ribosomal RNA
Rfam family: Bacterial small subunit ribosomal RNA
Source: RNAcentral
GACGAACGCUGGCGGCGUGCCUAACACAUGCAAGUCGAACGAAGAGCGCCGGACUCUUGCCUCUCUCAAUCUUAGUGGCGCGCGGGUGAGUAACGCGUAAUCAACCUGCCCUUCAGAGGGGGACAACAGUUGGAAACGACUUCUAAUACCGCAUACGAUCUAAUCUCGGCAUCCAGGAGGGAUGAAAGGUGGUCUCUACAUGUAAGCUAUCACUGAAGGAGGGGAUUGCGUCUGGUUAGCUAGUUGGAUGGGUAACGGCCUACCAAGGCGAUGAUCAGUAGCCGGACCGAGGGGGUGGACGGCCACAUGGGGACAGAGAAAGGGCCCAGACUCCUACGGUAGGCAGCAGUGGGGAAUCUUACGCAAUGGACGAAAGGCUGACGGAGCAACGUCGCGUGAGUGAUGACGGCCUUCGGGUGGGAAAACUCUGUUAGUCGGGACGAAAGGAAUUCUUGCGACCAGUGAGAAUAAUGACGGUACCCGGAGAAGAAGGCCAGGCUAACUUCGGU